GUUUAUGGCCAUGCCACCCUGAACAAGCCUGAUCCCACCUGGUCUUGCAAGUUAAGCAGGGUCAGGCCUGGUUAGUACUUGGAUGGAAGACCACCUAGGAAGACCAGGUGCUGUAGGCA
RNAcentral lists this ribosomal RNA (119 nucleotides) under Pteropus alecto (black flying fox). The record is from RNAcentral. Lineage: Eukaryota; Metazoa; Chordata; Mammalia; Chiroptera; Pteropodidae.